AAAAAAGAGAGAACAAAAGCAAAAAAAAAACCGAGAGGAGAGAAAAAGCUUAGGGGGUGAAAAUUCGAAAUAAGGGAAAAGAUUGAAAGAAAAGAGAGAAACACAUCAAAAAGAAGAAAUUUUCGUGAAGAGAGAAGAUCGAAAAAAAAGGAGAGAAACAAUUAUGUUUAAUCAAUAAUUUUACACAGAAAGGGGUCUUCGAAAUUGCUGAUUUUUCUUGCAUUUGUUGCUAAAAUCGGUGUCUUGUGGUUGAGUCCGUAGUUGCCGG
This 268-nucleotide long non-coding RNA is filed under the name Capsicum annuum. RNAcentral describes it as "long non-coding RNA (CANN_LNC014723)". The record is from RNAcentral. Lineage: Eukaryota; Viridiplantae; Streptophyta; Magnoliopsida; Solanales; Solanaceae.